This is a long non-coding RNA of Symphalangus syndactylus (siamang), 2920 nucleotides long. RefSeq lists it as uncharacterized. The record is from RefSeq and is a predicted model, not a curated record. NCBI's taxonomy places the organism in Eukaryota, Metazoa, Chordata, Mammalia, Primates, Hylobatidae.
CGAGAGCCCUCCAGAGCCGAUCUGAGCUCUGCUGGGCGGGAAAGCGGAGACUAAUUCUCAGCGGUCCCGGGCCCAGCGGCUGGGAGGUCCCGCGCUGGUCAAGCAAAGGAGGAGGGCGCAGGGCACGGGGGCGGCGCGCGCCCGGGACAGUUUCCCGUCGGCUUCUCCCGGACUGUCCUACCACUUCCAUCCCGGAGCGGGAUGCUCGUAUCCCCGCGCAAGGCCUCCUGCGGACGUGGAAGAGAUGCUGAGAAAGGCAAGCGGGGUUUCGCUACCGGCUGCCACCCCUCCCGCCCUUUUGGAGAAGGUAGAGCUAAUCAGCAUUUGGCCGAAAUCUUGUGUCCAUGGAACACUUAUUAUUAUUAUUUUUCCUGAAACGCAGGUGAGAGUUGAUGAGGCUCAGCGUCUCCAGAUAAAAGAAGGGACGGAGCUGUAGGUGCGGUGAGGUUUGAAAAGUUGCGGCGGCCCCGGCAGCUGCAGGGGGAGAGGGCGGAGCAGAGCCCAGGCCGCACCAGACUGGCCCUGAGUCUCCAGGGCUCCUCGUCCCCAUGCGCCAGCGUGUCUGAUGCUUCACUGGACCCGGAUCUCUUUCUCAAUGUCAUCUCACAGCCUCUGUCCCUUGGGUAGGGAAUCAGGCUUCUGAGCUAUCAUCUGCUUAAUGCCGUCGUCCUCUGCUUUGGAAAAUAUUUGAAUUGUGAUCUGAUAGAAGACACGAAAAAGUUAGAAUACUGCUAGAUUCCAAAGGAAAAAAAAAGUUUCUUCGUUUACAAGUAGCACUACUGAUGGGAAUUUCUUAAUUAUUAUCAUUUUAAAAAAUACAGAACCAGGUUUGGAUCCUUGAAAACGAAUUGGUCCUCAGCCUUUCAAACACUGGCCAAAAAAAUUUGCAAAAGAAAAACACAGGCAUCAGGUAGCAGGCACAGUAUUAAAAAUUCAGACAGUUUUACUGUUGGAUCUUAAAAAUAUAUUAGAAGGGUGUGACUUUCAUAAAGGACGAGAGAGAAUCAACUUCAUUCUAUUUCGAUGGGUAUUUUCUAGAUAUGCCAGAUAAUUUUGUCUUAUUAUCUCAAAGAUUACUUGUUUCAGCCAUACACCAUGGAGAAAAAAAUGGCAAGGGGUUUGAAUGAUCGUUUCCAGAGCAGUUUUUGGUGGCUGCAGUAGUACUUCCAUUUUACAAAUUCUCUGUGUUAGUCAUUCAUUCAUAUAUUCAUUCACCAAACAUUUAUUAAGGCUCUUCUAUGUGCUGUGUACAGUGCUAGACUUGGGAGAAGAGGGAUAAGUGGUGAGAGGGACAUACAAAAUUGAAUUAGAAAAAUUCACAGUUUAGGGAACUGGAAAUGCUAGGAAGCAGUUGUAAACCACUAUGAUACAUUCUUGUCGUGAGACGCCACCAGGACAGCCCCUGCUACUGGCCGGGAGAGGUACACUGACCACAACUGAGCGUCAGUGUUCAUCUGCGUGGUGGCCUUUGCUCUUUCAAGGCAGCCAUUAUUGGUUCCAUUUUCAACAGGAGGAGGCCAACACUAAAAGUGCAGUGAUGAGCCUCAUGUCUCACAGCCAGUCAGGCUCCUAAUCCAAAAGCCACUGCUAUGACUUGCACUUCCGGACGUUCUGCCAUUUGAUCCCUACAACCUCACUACCUGAAGGACUAUAUUUUGACCAUUCUUAAUGGGCCAGCUUCAAACACUGUCAAGUUUUGAGGAGGGCAGAUGAAGCUGAUGACAGCUCCAAUUCCAGCUAGGGGUGACCUGUCUGUCUGCCUUUUUUGAGCUGUGGAGUGAUCGGAGUCAUAUUUGCUGCCUGUGCAGCACCACAGGCCUGAUGAAAAUGAAAUGGCAACACCAUGCAGAUGGCGAAGCGUAGGUCUCACAAGUGUCCUGGCCACGAAGAUGGAGUCUCAAGUUGUUGCCAAGGAUGGAAUGUAGUGGUGUGAUCUCGGCUCACUGCAAACUCCGCCUCCUGGAUUCAAGCGAUUAUCCUGCCUCAGCCUCCCGAAUAGCUGGGAUUACAGGCAUGCACCACCAUGCCCGGCUAAUUUUUGUAUUUUUAGUAGAGAUGGGGUUUCACCAUGUUGGCCAGGCUGGUCUUGAACUCCUGACCUCAGGUGAUCCACCUGCCUCAGCCUCCCAAAGUGCUGGGAUUACAGGAGUGAGCCACUGUGCCCAUACGCCCCCCCCCUUAAAAUGUAAGUAAAUAUCUUAAGGAAUUUUUAAAAUUAUUUUUCCAGAAUUAUAUUUUCAGGAUUUUGGAUUUUAGGGAUUUUUAUCUUUCAGAAUUUUAAGAUCUGGGAUUGUGUCUUUCAAGAUCCCUUCUUCAGGGACUAUGACAGGCUUCCCUCUAGACAGCGUGGGCUAGGAAGCAUGUUCUGGAAUGUGACAUUUAAGCUGAGAACUGAAUUGUACAAAAAACCUAGCCACGCCAAUUACCCUAAGUGAAUUAAUGCAAAAAUAGAAGUCCAAAUACCACAUGUUCUCACUUAUAAGUGGGAGCCAAGCAUUGGGUACACAGGGACAUAAAGAUGGGAAAAUAGACACUGGGGAUUCCAAAAGGCAGGAGGAAGGGAGAGGGUUGAAAAUCUACCUAUUGGGCACUGUGUUCACUAUUUGGGUGAUAGGAUCAGUUGAAGCCCAAACCUCACCGUCAUGCAAUAAAUCCUUGUAACAAAGCACUCAUGUAGUUCCUGAAUCCAAAAGAAAAAAAAAAAAGAACAAACAAAAACAAUAUUAACUUUGACCCGAAAACCACCUAGCCACAGAAACCAGGGGGCAGUAGUGGAGAAGAGGCCCCAGGAGGAUUCUAGGUGAGACGACUGGACAUGCAGAAGCCCUCCUGGCAAAGGAAGGGGUUUUGUGUUUAGGAAGUGAAAGCCCAGGUAGCUGAGCUGUGGUGAGCCGGGGAGAAUGAAGGGAUGAGACAGGAG